Molecule: ribosomal RNA, 600 nt
Filed under: uncultured bacterium
Lineage: Bacteria
Description: bacterial SSU rRNA
Rfam family: Bacterial small subunit ribosomal RNA
Source: RNAcentral
CAGGCUUAACACAUGCAAGUCGAGCGGGCGUAGCAAUACGUCAGCGGCAGACGGGUGAGUAACGCGUGGGAACAUACCUUUUGGUUCGGAACAACCCAGGGAAACUUGGGCUAAUACCGGAUAAGCCCUUACGGGGAAAGAUUUAUCGCCGAAAGAUUGGCCCGCGUCUGAUUAGCUAGUUGGUGAGGUAAUGGCUCACCAAGGCGACGAUCAGUAGCUGGUCUGAGAGGAUGAUCAGCCACAUUGGGACUGAGACACGGCCCAAACUCCUACGGGAGGCAGCAGUGGGGAAUAUUGGACAAUGGGCGCAAGCCUGAUCCAGCCAUGCCGCGUGAGUGAUGAAGGCCCUAGGGUUGUAAAGCUCUUUUGUGCGGGAAGAUAAUGACGGUACCGCAAGAAUAAGCCCCGGCUAACUUCGUGCCAGCAGCCGCGGUAAUACGAAGGGGGCUAGCGUUGCUCGGAAUCACUGGGCGUAAAGGGUGCGUAGGCGGGUCUUUAAGUCAGGGGUGAAAUCCUGGAGCUCAACUCCAGAACUGCCUUUGAUACUGAAGAUCUUGAGUUCGGGAGAGGUGAGUGGAACUGCGAGUGUAGAGGUGAAAU